CAGAGGGUGCAAGCGUUAAUCGGAAUUACUGGGCGUAAAGCGAGCGUAGUCGGUUAUUUAAGUCGGAUGUGAAAUCCCCGGGCUCAACCUGGGAAUUGCAUUCGAUACUGGAUAGCUAGAGUUCGGCAGAGGGAAGCGGAAUUUCUGGUGUAGCGGUGAAAUGCGUAGAUAUCAGAAGGAACAUCGGUGGCGAAAGCGGCUUCCUGGACCAGAACUGACGAUCAGGCUCGAAAGCGUGGGGAGCAAACAGGAUUAGAUACCCUGGUAGUCCACGCCAUAAACGAUGACAACUAGACGUUGGGGACAUAUGGUCCACAGUGUCGCAGCUAACGCGUUAAGUUGUCCGCCUGGGGAGUACGGCCGCAAGGUUG
RNAcentral lists this ribosomal RNA (371 nucleotides) under uncultured organism. Its description in RNAcentral is "bacterial SSU rRNA". It matches the Rfam family "Bacterial small subunit ribosomal RNA", at positions 526 to 896 of the family's 1533-position model. The record is from RNAcentral.